Molecule: ribosomal RNA, 423 nt
Filed under: uncultured bacterium
Lineage: Bacteria
Description: bacterial SSU rRNA
Rfam family: Bacterial small subunit ribosomal RNA
Source: RNAcentral
AAGACCUUGCGCUUUUGGAGCGGCCGAUGCCUGAUUAGCUUGUUGGUAAGGUAAAAGCUUACCAAGGCUUCGAUCAGUAGCUGGUCUGAGAGGACGACCAGCCACACUGGGACUGAGACACGGCCCAGACUCCUACGGGAGGCAGCAGUGGGGAAUUUUGGACAAUGGGGGCAACCCUGAUCCAGCCAUGCCGCGUGAGUGAAGAAGGCCUUCGGGUUGUAAAGCUCUUUCAGCCGGGAAGAAAAGGUUGCGACUAAUAAUCGCAAUCCAUGACGGUACCGAAAGAAGAAGCACCGGCUAACUACGUGCUAGCAGCCGCGGUAAUACGUAGGGUGCGAGCGUUAAUCGGAAUUACUGGGCGUAAAGGGUGCGCAGGCGGUUUUGUAAGUCAGAUGUGAAAUCCCCGGGCUUAACCUGGGAACU